Molecule: long non-coding RNA, 574 nt
Organism: Corapipo altera (White-ruffed manakin)
Lineage: Eukaryota; Metazoa; Chordata; Aves; Passeriformes; Pipridae
Exons: 3
Source: RefSeq, a predicted model, not a curated record
GUCUUUUCCAACUGGGCUGAUUCUGUGAUUCUCUGAUUCCCAUUCCUAUGGCAGCACAUGCUUGAGGCUCUAUCCCCAGGGUGAUAGAGAUGUCUGUCCAUAUCUAUCUCCAAGGUUCCUGUCCUUGAGCCCAGGCCCUGAGGUGAGGCUGAGAAUAAGUGCAAGGCAGAGGUACUGCUGAGGAAGGACAACCCUGUGAAUGCCCAGGAGAAGCUGUGAGUGCCCAUCCCCAAGCAGGUGCUGUGUCCAUCCCCUGUGUGCCAGGACACUCCCCCCGAAAUCUUUGGGGGGGCCUUUUGUGUCUAUUCCUGGUUGCUGAUUCCUGCUGGGGACCUGAGGGAGCCUCUGCAAUCCCAUCCAUGUGGCACAAUCUCCUCUCCAGAGCUUGACUCCCUGCAGACUUUGCAGGGAAAUCUGUGCUGGCAGCCCGAGUAUGUCCUGACCCCCCACGCUCCCCCCAGGAUAUUUGGGAUGAGUUCCCCCUUCCCAGGCACCCGCGGGAUGGGGGUGCGAUUGUUCUCCUGCUGUUGCUGCUCCGCCCCUGUCCCUGCCCUUCCUGCUGCUGCCAGGUGAG